This 76-nucleotide microRNA precursor is filed under the name Myotis davidii. RNAcentral's name for it is "mir-9229 microRNA precursor family". It matches the Rfam family "mir-9229 microRNA precursor family". Lineage: Eukaryota; Metazoa; Chordata; Mammalia; Chiroptera; Vespertilionidae. The record is from Rfam by way of RNAcentral.
AAGACACCCUUAUGGGGCAGGACUUGCUUCAGUGGGGCUUUGGUGCUCACUGAGUCUGCCCUCUGAGUGUGUCUGU